Long non-coding RNA from Nerophis ophidion (straightnose pipefish), 1004 nucleotides. RefSeq lists it as uncharacterized. The transcript has 3 exons. Lineage: Eukaryota; Metazoa; Chordata; Actinopteri; Syngnathiformes; Syngnathidae. The record is from RefSeq and is a predicted model, not a curated record.
AAUUGUAAAAAAAAAUACAACAAAAAAACCCAUGAAUUAUAAAACAUAAAACAAAAACAAAACAAAAACAUAAAAAAUACAACAGAAAACAUAAAACAAAAAACAUAUAACAAAUUAUAUAAAACAUAAAACAAAAACCAAAGAACAUCCAUCCAUCCAUUUUUUCCCGCUUAUUCCCUUUGGGAACGCGGGGGGCGCUGGUGCCUAAACCAAAAAACAUAAAUGAUGUAAAACAUAAAUGAUAAAAGAUAAAACAUAAACAUGACAUAUGUCGUGUUUGGUAGUCUAUUUCCUGGUUGCAGCUUCGUUCGAUGUUUAGUGUUGGUGUCCAUGGCCACUGAUUCACCUCACCUGUCAGUGUUGAGCAAUUAGUGUUCCCACCAGGUGUUUUGGUCGAUCACUCCCCUUUGUAGUUUCCUGUCACCCAGCAUGAGUUGCUGGGUCAAUGUUCACAAUAAGCAACAUUUACCUUUCUAAGGUUUUUUUCUCCUCUCUACAGUGAUUUGAUACACGAGCAUUCCAGGUUCUUCAUCCUUGGUGACAUUUUGGUUUUGUUAAGUUCCACGCUUGUUAGCGUCCUCAGUUUGUAUUUUGUAUUUUGUUUCUUGCUUCGGAGGGGAACAGGACAAUCGCAGCCGUAACAACACAUUUGACUUCUUUGUGGUGUCUUUGACCUUCUUGUCUCUCAUAUUUCUGUCCCAAGAGGGUCUGAUGAGCUGAGACGCCAAAAAGGAGCUUUGAUUGUGUCCAUCAACUCAGCUCACUGGAUUGCACUCCUCUCUUCUUCCUCUCUGCCCACUGACUGCAGGAGCCGAGGGAGAGAAGGAGACACGGAGGACCGGCCGAGGACAAGUGAGGACCGGCUGAGGACAAGUGAGGACCCAGCAGGAUUACCUCUCCCGGACGUGGCGGACUAGACAAAAGCGACACACACUUCUUCACCUCGUGGCUUCCUGUCGAUCCGUCGCCUGCGUCGGGAAGCCGGGGGGGCUGGCUGGGCAGUG